This 253-nucleotide ribosomal RNA is filed under the name uncultured bacterium. RNAcentral describes it as "partial 16S ribosomal RNA". It matches the Rfam family "Bacterial small subunit ribosomal RNA", at positions 524 to 776 of the family's 1533-position model. The record is from RNAcentral.
UACGUAGGGUCCGAGCGUUGUCCGGAAUUAUUGGGCGUAAAGAGCUCGUAGGCGGUUUGUCGCGUCUGCUGUGAAAUCCCGAGGCUCAAUCUCGGGUCUGCAGUGGGUACGGGCAGACUGGAGUGCGGUAGGGGAGAAUGGAAUUCCUGGUGUAGCGGUGGAAUGCGCAGAUAUCAGGAGGAACACCGAUGGCGAAGGCAGUUCUCUGGGCCGUAACUGACGCUGAGGAGCGAAAGCGUGGGGAGCGAACAGG